CGGGAGGACGGCGCUGCGAGGAGGCGCCCGGAACAGUCAUGGAGCGCCGCGUGGGAGUGAGGGCCUGGGUGGAGGAGAACCGGGGCUCCUUCCAGCCCCCGGUCUGCAACAAGCUCAUGCACCAGGAGCAGCUCAAAGUCAUGUUUGUCGGAGGCCCCAACACCAGGAAGGACUAUCACAUCGAAGAGGGUGAAGAGGUAUUUUACCAGCUGGAGGGAGACAUGGUUCUCCGAGUCCUGGAGCAAGGGAAACACCGGGAUGUGGUCAUUCGGCAGGGAGAGAUAUUCCUCCUGCCUGCCAGGGUGCCCCACUCACCACAGAGGUUUGCCAAUACUGUGGGGCUGGUGGUUGAGCGAAGGCGGCUGGAGACCGAGCUAGAUGGGCUCAGGUACUAUGUGGGCGACACCAUGGACGUUCUGUUUGAGAAGUGGUUCUACUGCAAGGACCUCAGCACGCAGUUGGCCCCCAUCAUCCAGGAGUGAGCCCCCAGCCCAGCCCCUGCCUCUUGCUUUCCUGGGGCUCUGCAUCAGCACCUGAUGGCCUGGGAGGAAGUCUCCCCUCCCAGGGUGGGGAUCCUGGCCCAGAGAGCCCACUGCCAGGCUGGGGGGAGGAGGGAGCAGCAGCCCCGCUGGGAGGGAAAGGAUGGCAGACACACAGCUGUGUGAGAGCCCCAUGAGUGUGUGUGGGCACCUGCACCUGACUGUGAGUGUGGUGUAUGUGUGUGUCGCUGGCCACUCCAAUGGGAGUGCUCACCACUCCUGCUCCUCCCUGUUCGUCCCUGCAGGUUCUUCAGCUCUGAGCAGUACAGAACAGGAAAGCCCAUCCCUGACCAGCUGCUCAAGGAGCCACCAUUCCCUCUGAGCACACGAUCCAUCAUGGAGCCCAUGUCCCUGGAUGCCUGGCUGGACAGCCACCGCAGGGAGCUGCAGGCAGGCACACCACUCAGCCUGUUUGGGGACACCUAUGAGACCCAGGUGAUCGCCUAUGGGCAAGGCAGCAGCAAAGGCCUGAGACAGAAUGUGGACGUGUGGCUGUGGCAGCUGGAGGGCUCCUCGGUGGUGACAAUGGGGGGACGGCGCCUGAGCCUGGCCCCUGAUGACAGCCUCCUGGUGCUAGCUGGGACCUCGUGAGUACGCGGGGAGGGCUUUCCCUGGGAUCCUCAGGGUCCAGCUCUGUGUGACCCCUGCUCAUCUGUGUGUCCACAGGUAUGCCUGGGAGCGAACACAAGGCUCUGUGGCCCUGUCUGUGACCCAGGACCCUGCCUGCAAGAAGCCCCUGGGGUGACCCUCUAGCCAUGGCCUGAAGCAGCCACAGGUGUGCCAAGCACCCUCGAGUGCCAUCCCUGCCAAACAACUCUCCCAGCCCCCACUACCUCUCUGUGUACUGCCGCUGUGUCCCCCACAGACCUGGACAUUGUUGUCACCCACCCUCCUGCCCUUCUCAGCCCAGAUGCCACGCCCCUGGGCAGGCAGCAGCUCCCCAUCUUCUCUGGCAGCCUCAGCCCACUGCCUUGCCAGUCUUGCCAGGUGGUCUACCCCCAGCCCCGCUCCUGCCCAUUCCUCUGUCCCUGCAGACUCAGUGCGGCACUUCCACACCAAGAA
Molecule: small RNA, 1601 nt
Filed under: Pongo abelii (Sumatran orangutan)
Lineage: Eukaryota; Metazoa; Chordata; Mammalia; Primates; Hominidae
Description: retained intron
Source: RNAcentral